This 32-nucleotide non-coding RNA is filed under the name Rattus norvegicus (Norway rat). Lineage: Eukaryota; Metazoa; Chordata; Mammalia; Rodentia; Muridae. The record is from RNAcentral.
UGUGACUGUCCAACUCCUGAUACUGUUGCCCC